GAUGAACGCUGGCGGCGUGCCUAAUACAUGCAAGUCGAGCGAACAGACGAGGAGCUUGCUCCUCUGACGUUAGCGGCGGACGGGUGAGUAACACGUGGAUAACCUACCUAUAAGACUGGGAUAACUUCGGGAAACCGGAGCUAAUACCGGAUAAUAUAUUGAACCGCAUGGUUCAAUAGUGAAAGACGGUUUUGCUGUCACUUAUAGAUGGAUCCGCGCCGCAUUAGCUAGUUGGUAAGGUAACGGCUUACCAAGGCGACGAUGCGUAGCCGACCUGAGAGGGUGAUCGGCCACACUGGAAGUGGGACACGGUCCAGACUCCUACGGGAGGCAGCAGUAGGGAAUCUUCCGCAAUGGGCGAAAGCCUGACGGAGCAGCGCCGCGUGAGUGAUGAAGGUCUUCGGAUCGUAAAACUCUGUUAUUAGGGAAGAACAAAUGUGUAAGUAACUAUGCACGUCUUGACGGUACCUGAUCAGAAAGCCACGGCUAACUACGUG
Molecule: ribosomal RNA, 497 nt
Filed under: uncultured bacterium
Lineage: Bacteria
Description: partial 16S ribosomal RNA
Rfam family: Bacterial small subunit ribosomal RNA
Source: RNAcentral